RNAcentral lists this long non-coding RNA (1906 nucleotides) under Macaca fascicularis (crab-eating macaque). RNAcentral's name for it is "lncRNA (ENSMFAG00000050619.1)". The record is from RNAcentral. Lineage: Eukaryota; Metazoa; Chordata; Mammalia; Primates; Cercopithecidae.
UGGCCUCAGGCAAUCCUCCCACCUCAGCCUCGCAGGAAUGUCCCUACCUCCAACGACACAGGGACACAGGGAAGAAAGAAUCAGAACAAACAGGCCUUGCCGAGUUCCCCCCAUUUAAUUACUGCUGGAUCAUACCUGCUUUGUGCACUCAUACCUCUGAACAACUCUACUCACCAUCAAACCUAAGCAUAAAAAAUACACAGGUUUCCCUGUGUCUUUAGGUCUUUACUUCUUUAUGAAGGUUCUCAUGCCACAUAAAACCGCCUUUCUCCUGUUCAUCUGUGUUUUGUUACAGGGGCUUCAGCCGUGAGCCUGAGAUGAGAAUGAAAAACACUUUUUCUCCCCUGCAACCCCUCAACCCUUGCACAUCCUCUGUGGUUUGCGUCCUGGUUAUAGCUCCCUUCCUAAGGCAGGGACUGUGUUCCUUCACAUUCUGUAAUCACUGACUUUUAUCCUUCCUGUUUACCUGCUAUUGUUGAAAAAGCACUGGACGCAAAGUUAGAAAAGCUCGUUUCAAGUGUCACUUCUGUCGGUCUUCAGCUAAACCGCUGGGUAAAUUGCCGAGCAGUCAGAAUCAUUGGCAUUGCAGAGGAUUCACUGUGGCCCAGCGCAUUCGUCUUGAUAACCCCCUACGGGAUAAGUACAAACAUCAUCUUCACUUCCACCAGCACAGGAGCAGAGGCUUAGUGAAGUGCCCUACCUUCCCCAAGGUCACACAGUGAAUCGCUGGCAGUGCAGGGACUUGAACCUCCGCCACCCACUUCUACAACAGUGCCUGGUACGUGUUAGUGCUCAGCGGAUUCGUUUUGACGGCUUGUUAGCUUAAUACCAAGCUGUGUGCGUUAGCCUUUCCAUCUCAGAUGAUAGAAGUUAUAGUAAUACUUAUCAUCGGGGUUUCGUGGAGAAUCAAUGCAAUCCUGCACAUAGAUGGCCUUUGAAACUGGGAAAGCACCAUAGAAAAGUCAACCAUUGUCAUCAUUUUUCCUCACCCCUGCCUCCCUUUGCCUGAGGCUGAUCAAGGGACUGCAAGAGAGGGCAGAUAAAGAGUGUGAGGUGACGCAGUUCUGAGUUCUAGUCUGCUGUGACCUCCCUAACACUGUUUCCUUGCCUGCACGAGGAGGGCAUGGAGUGAAGCGUGUGCAGCGUCUGGCACGGCCGUGAUUGUACAAGCGAGGAACCAUGACUCCUCUCCGGGCACUGACACCAGGAGCCGGUCUCCAGCCCUCCGUGCUGACAGAUGGGUCAAGUUGGCCUCCUUCCCAAGCACUGGUUUGGAUUCUUUCAGCUUCUACUUUUUCAGUUGGAUCUCAUUUAAUUGUUGUCAUUUCAUGCGUUCACCUCGAGGCCCUGGGCAACUUACACACCUUAAACACAUCAGGCAUAAAGCAUACAAAAAUAAAUUCCGCUUCAAUCUUUCCACAUGGUGGAAAACUGGCCACUUAUAUUAAUAAUAGAACCCUGAUGUGUCCAUCUAAAACCCUCUGAAGACCACCUCAUGGGGAAAAUAAAACAAAACUCCCACGGUUCCACCGGUUCAAGAGUGAGGAGAGUGGGAAGGAGAGAAAGAAAAAGAAAGGGAAGCGGAGAGGGAGAAAAAGAAAGACAAAGAAAAGAGAAAAUGCACAUAUUCUUUUUCUUCCUCAGUCAUUAUCCUGCUAUGUUAACUUCAAAUAAUUCUGAGGACAUUUUACCACAAAUAUUGGGCCAAGUUCAUGUAUCUUAUAGAACAAUCAGGGAAAAACAGAACAUUUAUUUCUGAGCACCUGGAAGGCCACACAUCGCUCAGGAUGGGAUACUCAAUGCAAUUUGCUUUAUUUUCCUUUGUUCCUACAUUUUCUAAAGUUCAGAUUCAAUUAAAUUCAAGGGGACAACGGUCAGAUAACAGAAAACCAAAAAAAAAAAAAAA